Molecule: unclassified non-coding RNA, 288 nt
Filed under: Hevea brasiliensis (rubber tree)
Lineage: Eukaryota; Viridiplantae; Streptophyta; Magnoliopsida; Malpighiales; Euphorbiaceae
Source: RNAcentral
GGGGGCGCCGGCGGAGAUCUACCUGCCGGCGGAGGUGGACUGGGAGAUGCUCGACAAGUCCCGCUUCUUCAUCCUUGGCGCCGCCCUCUUCUCCGCCGUCUCCGCCGCGCUCUACCCGGCGGUGGUGCUCAAGACCCGCCUCCAGGUCUCCCGCCAGCCGCUCUCCUGCUGCCGCGCCGCCGCCAAUAUCAUCCGCGCCGAGGGCCCCCGCGGGUUCUACCGCGGCUUCGCCACCUCUCUCGCCGGCACCAUCCCCGCCCGCGCCCUCUACAUGGCCGCUCUCGAGGU